Triticum aestivum (bread wheat) is the source of this 1322-nucleotide long non-coding RNA. RefSeq lists it as uncharacterized. Lineage: Eukaryota; Viridiplantae; Streptophyta; Magnoliopsida; Poales; Poaceae. The transcript is spliced from 5 exons. The record is from RefSeq and is a predicted model, not a curated record.
UGAAACGCCGCGCCGCCGUAUGUAAAAUCAAUCUCCAGGUUCGAGCGCUCGUGCCGCCUCUAUUUGCCGCCGUCCACCGCCAUGCCGUCGUCCGGUCGACCGCCCCCCAAACACUUCUCCCCUGCUCCCGGCUACCGCUCUCUUGUCCUCUGCGCCGUUCACACCGCGCGGCGCGGCGCGCCAUCCCCUGUUCCUCCUGGCUGCUGCACCUUCGUAAUUUUCUUUGAUGCUUUUUCGGUUUCCCCUGACGAGCUAAUUUAAUUGGAAUAGCGUGUGUGUGUGUAUCCAAUCAGAUAUCUACGGGGUAUCUGCACCUAUCAUUUCAGGUGGAGGGAAUCAAGCACCUAAAGGGACUGGAUACAAACACAUAUAGGUCUCGCAAAGGGCUUUUACCUCAUCGAAGUGGUGUUGGUUUUCCUACUGUUGGUCAAGUUAUGGGAGGCACCAAUGAAGUAAUCAAUUGAUUUGGCACCGGCGAAGCUACGGCAUAGCACGCCGCUGGCCUCCAGCAACCGGCGCUCCGCACACAUCCCUGCCUCCCACGGCCAGAUGCUCGGACGGUCCCCCAUCACAUAGAUACACAACAGCGAGCUUCAGUUAUCUGAAUUUUCAGUUCAGUGUCGUGAUUUGGAUGGACGCCCGAACACAACAGCGAGGCCAGCUUCAGUUCUCUGAAUCUUCAGUUCCGUGUCGUGAUUUGGAUGGAAUUGGAGACCGUGUCCUUCUCCAACAUAAAUCAAUUUCCAAUGUAAUCGAGUUCGAGUCUAUGUUCUUCUCCAAUGCAAAAGCAUGUAGUGCCCGAUCCGGAUUGAACUUGGCUGUCAUAAGGAGGGAUCCUCGACCGGAACGUCCAUCAGGCCGCGUCCCUCGACCAGAAUGUCCAUCAAAUCCCAUCACAUUGCAACUUUCAGAGGAACAUCCAAUGUCGCUGGCGGAGGAAAAUCAUCUGUCAAGCCGUACUAUGCCGAGUUCGCCGGCGGAAGAAGAACACCCGUCGAGCCCUCCAUCGCCUGAGGCGGCUACACCAGAGUGAUGGGAGGUAGAUUGAGCUGAUAAAUUUCUGCACCCACCUUGAGGUCCAUAACGUUCUCAUAAUUAUAUGGAGCCCAAUUCGUAUAGAUGUAUUUGUUUGAGGGAGAGGACUAUCUGUGAUCAGAAGCAACAUUAUGUGAUCAUCAUGUGUGCGAGAGAUGGCAAGAGUAUGUGAUAUGUAUUUCUGUGUACACUACUAAUAUGUAUUGACUGUUCAUGUUGAUACAGUAGGUUCAUGAUUGCUUAUGGAAACAAUAAAAUUACUUGAGAAGGAUUUUAUGAGUAUGUAC